This is a non-coding RNA of Angiostrongylus cantonensis (rat lungworm), 73 nucleotides long. The record is from Rfam. Lineage: Eukaryota; Metazoa; Nematoda; Chromadorea; Rhabditida; Metastrongylidae.
GGCCUUGUGGCCUAAUGGAUAAGGCGUCGAACUUCGGAUCUGAAGAUUGCAGGUUCGAGUCCUGCCAGGGUCG